This 254-nucleotide ribosomal RNA is filed under the name uncultured bacterium. Its description in RNAcentral is "partial 16S ribosomal RNA". It matches the Rfam family "Bacterial small subunit ribosomal RNA", at positions 524 to 776 of the family's 1533-position model. The record is from RNAcentral.
UACGAGGGGGGCAAGCGUUGUUCGGAAUUAUUGGGCGUAAAGGGCGCGUAGGCGGUGCGGUAAGACUGUGGUGAAAUCUUCGGGCUCAACUCGAAGCCUGCCGCGGUGACUGCCGUGCUGGAGUGUGGGAGAGGUGAGUGGAAUUCCCGGUGUAGCGGUGAAAUGCGUAGAUAGUCGGGAGGAACACCUGUGGCGAAAGCGGCUCACUGGACCACUACUGACGCUGAUGCGCGAAAGCUAGGGGAGCAAACAGG